Molecule: long non-coding RNA, 272 nt
Filed under: Mytilus galloprovincialis (Mediterranean mussel)
Lineage: Eukaryota; Metazoa; Mollusca; Bivalvia; Mytilida; Mytilidae
Source: RNAcentral
UUACCACCAACCGCUAAUGAUACGGUUAUGAAAAGAAUGACAGCAGACUCGUGUUGUGCUGAAUGAUCAUAGCGAGGAAUAUUCAAGUUGAUAUUAAGGCCACAUUGCCCUCCGGUACAAUUGGUUAAAUUCAUAGGAAUUUUUGCUAGAACAACAUCUUUGACAUUAUCAAGCAAAGAUGUCCUCAGCAAGUACUGUGCUGGUUUUAUUUAAGUGCAUUGUUUACGCAGGAAGUUCGGCCAUUAGAAAUUACGUGUGACGUCAUGAUUAAC